UCUGAAUUCCACCACUAGAAGUGUUUGAGUGGAGCCCAAGCAUUAUUGUUACUUCAGACAGCUGGAGAUACCAGUCACAAAGUCUCUGAUACAAUUCUCCUUUUUCCCCAACUUUGAGGCUGACUUUCUGAUAUCCAAAGACCUCUACUUAAUCGGACAUCUAUGAGACAUCUGCAGGAGCUUAACCCCAAGUAAAUUUUGGGGUACCUGGUGAUCAUCUAAAAGUAACUCCCAUAUUCCAGUUUACUAUCAGACUGCUAAGCACCAGACAGACUGAAGUGGCAACAUGCCUAGAGACGAUGAAGGUGAAUGCCAAAAGAGGCAUUAAAAAUUUGGCUCCUGUUAAAUGCCUUCGAAGAAACUGCUGUUUUCAUCAGGAAAUGGCAAUUACACAGGUUUUCUGUUACGGAACCUCUGCUCCUUGGUGUUUUCAUGAUACAGAAGUUGAAUUUCCAUUCAUUCAAAGAAUUUCUUUGUGAAGAGGCUGGCUUUAAAGAAUAUUCACAUAUUACAAUGCAGAAGGAUGAGGAGAUAUCGAAAGGAAAAGAACAAAGAGGAAGAAGAGGAAAUGGAGGAUGAAGAAAGAAGGAAAAAGAAGCUCAUAGGUGAUAUUUUUGACCCAGUUAUACACAUGACCAAAAUCCUAAUCCAUUCAGUUAAUUUCUCUUUUGACAUCACUACAAUAAAAACUUUUCAA
Long non-coding RNA from Mastomys coucha (southern multimammate mouse), 697 nucleotides. RefSeq lists it as uncharacterized. NCBI's taxonomy places the organism in Eukaryota, Metazoa, Chordata, Mammalia, Rodentia, Muridae. The transcript has 5 exons. The record is from RefSeq and is a predicted model, not a curated record.